Molecule: ribosomal RNA, 268 nt
Filed under: uncultured bacterium
Lineage: Bacteria
Description: partial 16S ribosomal RNA
Rfam family: Bacterial small subunit ribosomal RNA
Source: RNAcentral
GACAUAGGUGGCGAACGUUAUCCGGAAUUACUGGGCGUAAAGAGUGCGUAGGUGGUUCAAUAAGUUACUGGUGGCAAUCGGGGCCCAACCCCCGUGGAAGUUGGUAAUACUGUUGAACUAGAGGACCGGAGAGGUUAAUGGAAUUCUAUGUGUAGCGGUAAAAUGCUCAAAUAUAUAGAGGAACACCAAACGGCGAAGGCAGUUAACUAUUCGGUGCCUGACGUUGAGGCACGAAAAGCGUGGGGGAGCAAGACGGAUUAGAAACCCC